Molecule: ribosomal RNA, 204 nt
Filed under: uncultured bacterium
Lineage: Bacteria
Description: partial 16S ribosomal RNA
Rfam family: Bacterial small subunit ribosomal RNA
Source: RNAcentral
AUUGUAGUCUGCAACCCGACUACAUGAAGCUGGAAUCGCUAGUAAUCGCGGAUCAGAAUGCCGCGGUGAAUACGUUCCCGGGUCUUGUACACACCGCCCGUCACACCAUGGGAGUCGGAAAUGCCCGAAGUCGGUGACCGAACCGAAAGGAAGGAGCCGCCGAAGGCAGGUCUGGUGACUGGGGUGAAGUCGUAACAAGGUAGC